This 888-nucleotide long non-coding RNA is filed under the name Homo sapiens (human). Its description in RNAcentral is "non-protein coding MIR205HG:4". Lineage: Eukaryota; Metazoa; Chordata; Mammalia; Primates; Hominidae. The record is from RNAcentral.
GAAAUGGGCUGAGUCCCUCUUGCUCACCCUUGACUUGGAAAAACCAGUUUCUCUUUUAUUGUCUGUUACUAAUCUCUAUUCUAAAAAUUCAGCUCAAUUCUCAACCAUACUCCAAACUCUCUCUUUUCCAGCUACCUUUACUCCCUCUCCUUCAAUUCCACUUUCCUCUGCUUACUUUUUUUUUUUUUCUGACAGGGUCUCACUUUGUCGCCCGGGCAGGAGUGCAGUGGCUCAAUCUUGGGCUCACUGCAGCCUCAACCUCCCAGAGGCGGGGUUUCACCAUGUUGCCCAGACUGGUCUUGAACUCCUGAGCUUAAGCAAUCCACCUGCCUCGGCCUCCCAAAGUGUUGGGAUCACAGGCGUGAGCCACCGCAUCCGGCCUCAUGUUCUUUUUCAUUAAAGAGAGAAAUCAACUAUUCAGGACCGGCCCCCACCUUUCCUCAGGAGUCAUUUCUGUUCCGCACAGGCCUGCUGAACUGGGUGCUUUAUAUAGGACACUGUCAUCUCUCAAGUACCCAUCUUGGAGGGUACGGACCCCACAUGAGGAUUUCAGUGGAGUGAAGUUCAGGAGGCAUGGAGCUGACAACCAUGAGGCCUCGGCAGCCACCGCCACCACCGCCGCCGCCACCACCGUAGCAGCAGCAGCAGCAGCAGCAGCAGCAGCAGCAGCAGCAAGAGUAACUCUGACUUAGGAAUAGAGACAGCCAGAGAGAAAUGUGAUCAAUGAAGGAGACAUCUGGAGUGUGCGUGCUUCUUCAGAGGGACGGGUGAUGGGCAGAUUGGAAAAAGCACCGCAGAUGGGAACCUUAAUCUUUCUUUUCUAAAAUUGAUGCUAUGAAAAUUUGCGUUUUCUGUAACUUGUAAAAACUAAAAGUUGCUUGUCUACUG